This 838-nucleotide ribosomal RNA is filed under the name Xerocrassa rhithymna. RNAcentral's name for it is "partial 16S ribosomal RNA". The stretch from base 347 to 592 matches the Rfam family "Archaeal large subunit ribosomal RNA", at positions 1784 to 2143 of the family's 2987-position model. Lineage: Eukaryota; Metazoa; Mollusca; Gastropoda; Stylommatophora; Geomitridae. The record is from RNAcentral.
UUAACAAAAAUUAAUAUAUAAUAUCACACGAAGGGUGUUGAGCGUGAAUUAACCAAAUAUUAUAGUAUAUAAUACUAUAUGUGGCAUUAUAUAGAGUAUAUGUUUAAUUAGGGGUGAAAGGCUUUCCAAAAUAUCCGAUAUCUUGUUUUUUAGGAAAACUAUUAAGUAGAUAAUUCAACCUUGAAGUGGUGAGGUUUCAAGGUAAUACGAAGCUUGGGUUUACUAAAGUAAAUUGUUUAACAAUAAUUACUUUUAUAAUCCUAAUAUUAGUUAUCUUACGCUUGUAUAAUAUUACUAAAAUGUAUUUGACAACUAGUUAGAAUAAUAUCACUGUUAAUAUGAGUAUUAUAUAAAUAAAUUUGAUGUAGGAACUCGGCAAAGGUGCUACUCAACUGUUUACCAAAAACAUAGCCAGGUGCUUUUAUACUUGGUUACUUCUGCUCAAUGGUAAACUAAAUAGCCGCAGUACCCUGACUGUGCAAAGGUAGCAUAAUCAUUUGGCUUAUAAUUGAAGUCUGGCAUGAAAGAAAUUAUGGGUAGCAACUGUCUUCUAUAAAUUGUUAGAAUUUACUAAGUAGGUGAAAAUUCCUAUAGACUUAUAAUAGACGAGAAGACCCUAGAAAUUUUAAUAUAAAAGUAUCUUAUUUAUUUACUAUUUUGUUGGGGCGACAGAAUAACAGUUGAACUUAUUUUAAUCAAUUUGGACUAAUUUUUGGGAAAAGUUAAAUUACUCUAGGGAUAACAGCAUAAUUUAUUAAAGUUUGUGACCUCGAUGUUGGACUAGGGUUUUUAAUAAUCAGAAGUUAUUAAGCUUAGCUCUGUUCGAGCUUUAUUUCCU